RNAcentral lists this ribosomal RNA (497 nucleotides) under uncultured bacterium. RNAcentral describes it as "partial 16S ribosomal RNA". It matches the Rfam family "Bacterial small subunit ribosomal RNA", at positions 28 to 507 of the family's 1533-position model. The record is from RNAcentral.
GAUGAACGCUGGCGGCGUGCCUAAUACAUGCAAGUCGAGCGAACGGACGAGAAGCUUUCUUCUCUGAUGUUAGCGGCGGACGGGUGAGUAACACGUGGUUAACCUACCUAUAAGACUGGGAUAACUUCGGGAAACCGGAGCUAAUACCGGAUAAUAUUUUGAACCGCAUGGUUCAAAAGUGAAAGACGGUCUUGCUGUCACUUAUAGAUGGAUCCGCGCUGCAUUAGCUAGUUGGUAAGGUAACGGCUUACCAAGGCAACGAUGCAUAGCCGACCUGAGAGGGUGAUCGGCCACACUGGAACUGAGACACGGUCCAGACUCCUACGGGAGGCAGCAGUAGGGAAUCUUCCGCAAUGGGCGAAAGCCUGACGGAGCAACGCCGCGUGAGUGAUGAAGGUCUUCGGAUCGUAAAACUCUGUUAUUAGGGAAGAACAUAUGUGUAAGUAACUGUGCACAUCUUGACGGUACCUAAUCAGAAAGCCACGGCUAACUACGUG